AUAUAUGAAGUAGAAAAUAAGGAAUAUGGGGUUUGGGGUUUCGGGUUUCGGGUUUUGGAUUCUAGGGAUUUAAAUAUAACACUCGUUAAUUCUACGUAAGCUUAAAUCGUCGUAAAGUCCUCGUACUCCAACGAGUAAAUAACGACGAAGGACUCGUUAAUUCCACGUAGGACUAAAUCGUCGUAAAUACCACGUAGGAUGAAUUCGUCGUAAAAACCACGUAGGAUUUGGGGUUUGAGGUUUGGGGUUUCGGGUAUGGGGUUUGGGGGUUGGGGUUUCGGGUAUGGGGUUUCGGGUUUUGGAUUCUAGGGAUUUAAACAUAACACUCGUUAAUUCCACGUAAGCACAAAUCGUCGUAAAGUCCUCGUAGGCUGAAAUCGUCGUAAAUUCCACGUAAUCACAAUCGUCGUAAAGACCACGUAAACGGAUUUAUACAUAAACUCGUUAAUUCCACGUAACUGCAAAUCGUCAUAAAUAUCUCAUAGUGUACAAACUUGAAAAAAAAAGGAAAAGGAUAGAAAUACCAGAUUAACAUGUGACAAGACUUCCAGCAAUUAUAAUACGUAAGUCUCGCCCACAUGAAUUCU
Molecule: long non-coding RNA, 587 nt
Filed under: Brassica napus (rape)
Lineage: Eukaryota; Viridiplantae; Streptophyta; Magnoliopsida; Brassicales; Brassicaceae
Description: long non-coding RNA (BNAP_LNC021179)
Source: RNAcentral